AAAUCAAAUGAUGAGUACGGAUUUAAUUUUCUCACGACGGUCGUCUGAGAUACUCUCCUUGAUGUUAAAGGAUCCACAACUCCUGAUGAUU
Molecule: non-coding RNA, 91 nt
Organism: Morus notabilis
Lineage: Eukaryota; Viridiplantae; Streptophyta; Magnoliopsida; Rosales; Moraceae
Source: Rfam